UAAAAUCCCUUCGUCUCCUAAAUCCUCUCUAAACAUCUCCAAAACCCUAGCCCUAUCCCGCCGGUUUCCACCUUGUUCCAUCGGAAUCAAUGGCGUCCCAAGCCCUGGGUAGCCUAUACUCACCCUCACCUACCCCCAUACACCUGUUACUGGAAGAUUCAAGGUUCGAGCUUGAAGGUCUUCGCUCAGAUCUCCACCGAUUCGAGUUUUACGGCCAUCUUCGGCUUGGCUCCGGCAUAUCCUAGCCCUAUGAAUCCAUCUCUGACUCACUCGAGUCGGAGCAGACCCUUUUUCCAGGCCUCUCUCACUUAUGGGGUUCUUCUGAAACUCUAGCCUUUCGAGUUUUCCUAUUUUCUCUAGAUCUGCUCUAGAUCCACGUAUCUUAAGCUUUUCAAAUGAUUCCUCUAAAUUUCUUCCAUAACUUUGCUUUCAAAACUGUUUGUCUUCUCCGACUUAGGGUUUUCUUUAAUUUUACUUGUUCUGCUGAGAGUCCUAUGUGUUCUUACUGUAUUUUCUCCACUGUGUUUUCAUCUACCUUGAUUUCUUCUACCAUUGCUUUAUGAGUUCUUUUACAAUAUCUUGUUCUCUUAUUAUGUUUUCCGGAAAUGCUUAAGGUUUUAGAUCCAUUGGGUCUUGUAAACUUAUUUAGUUAUUACUUUUGCUUGAUUUGUCUGCUUUCAUCUUUACACUUGAUUAAUGGCGGAAACCCUAGAAUUUGGGCGUUUUCAGACCACUUGUAUAUGACUUGCAUGUUCUCACCUCUGAACUAGUUUGAUUUCAAUUUCUGAAGUCAUCUCUGUUUUUCAUAUGGUUCAGACCUUUUGCCAAAAUCUUUUCUACACUAGAUUUUCCUACUGAUUCUUUACAAUGAGAGUACGGUCUUUUUUCAUGUUUGAUGUGUUCGUAUGCUCCUUAUAUACUAUGAAUUUCCCCUUAAAUGGUUUUUCAAAUUUGCAAUUAGUUCAAAAUUUCUACUGAAUAUAGCUUGAUUGAUUUCUUUCCACUGUUUGCCUGUGACUCAACCUAAGUAAAACCUUUCUCCUUUUUUCGGACUUGAUUCAUUCGCAUAAAAAUUUCAGACCUUUUGAUUUACUGCUUAUUAAUUGAUCUUCUUACCUUAUUUGCACAAACCACGUAUUUCAAAAACUUGUCAAUAAAUAACUUUUAUGUAUUUACCCUUAUUUGUAUACUAUGCACACUGUUGUUUAUUUGAUCCCCUUUCCUUAAAUACUUCAUGUCCUUCACUGAUCAAAUUGGGAUUCCUUAAUUAAAGGAACCUCUACUAAUUGAUUGAUACUCGAUUAUUUUCUUUCCUUAAUACAUGACUUAAAGUAUAAGUUUCCGCUCCUCUCUUCACUCCAUCAUCGAAUUCUGACUGCAAAUCCAAAUCAAAAUUCACAUCUCUGUCUUGAAAUAUUCUUUACUACUACCAUUGCUACUCUCUAUUUUUCUAUACUACUAGUGAGCAUCUGCAUCUUUACCUCCUGCUGUUUGAACUCCUGAGUACUUGUGAUAGGUUCUUGAGUUUGUUCCUAUUGUUCCUGGCUGUUUGUUUACUGUUACUAUUCUGUUGUUCUAGAAUUUGCAACUGGUAUGUUCUUCUAUGUUAAAUAGCAUCCUCUUUGUUAUGAGUUCCAUUCUCCUCUUCUAUCUUUCUUUCUUGUGUGUUUUCUCAUUAUUUCCUGCAUUAUGUGAUUAUAUUCAAGCAUGAUAUGCCUCCUUGUGCUUUCAAUCUGUUAUGUUUUAAUCCCUUCCCUCCAUUCCUUUUGUAUGUGACUAUUGUCCCGAAUCAUGGCAACACUUUGAAUUGUUCUCUUUGAUCUAGAACUAGACUCUUCCGAGUCUUUACUCAAUUUUUACCAAUUCCCUUUCCCCCUUUAUGCGUUGAGCUAUAAUUUGGGUCUGUUGGUGUCCUAAUCACCAUUCAGACCUAAGUUUAACUCUAUGAGAGUCUGCUCUUAUUUGUUUUAAUCUGAGCAAGAGGUCAGGGGUGUGUAAAUCUAUGCCAUGGCUAGGUAUGACCACCUCCUGUUGAGGUUCCCCCAUUACUUUGCACUUACUCCUAGUUCUAAAGUUCUACCCCCUUUGGUAAACCAUGCUUAGGGACCCUAGAGCUCCCUCUGAACCUGGAUGCCUGAGGGCAUGUAAUUCCAUACAUUGCACUACUCUGUUAUAACAUUCACUCUUUAGAGUGUAAGCAUUUCCUGGGCUCUUGAAGCUCUGAAAUGCUCUAAGAGAAGGCCUUGGUAUCUGGAACCCGGAUUUGGUAAAACACAUGUAUUGGAUAUUAAGAUUACAUUAGGGAGUUUGGAUCUAGUUGUGGGCUAUGAUGUAUUUUUUUUUUACUUUUGGAUCUGUAAUAACAACUUUGUAAUAAGAACUUGGGGAGUAUAGUAGUAAAGGGUAUGGGAGAGGUUUUUAGUUG
Molecule: long non-coding RNA, 2425 nt
Filed under: Nicotiana benthamiana
Lineage: Eukaryota; Viridiplantae; Streptophyta; Magnoliopsida; Solanales; Solanaceae
Description: long non-coding RNA (NBEN_LNC022365)
Source: RNAcentral